This 496-nucleotide ribosomal RNA is filed under the name uncultured bacterium. RNAcentral describes it as "partial 16S ribosomal RNA". It matches the Rfam family "Bacterial small subunit ribosomal RNA", at positions 29 to 507 of the family's 1533-position model. The record is from RNAcentral.
AUGCACGCUGGCGGCGUGCCUAAUACAUGCAAGUCGAGCGAACAGACGAGGAGCUUGCUCCUCUGACGUUAGCGGCGGACGGGUGAGUAACACGUGGAUAACCUACCUAUAAGACUGGGAUAACUUCGGGAAACCGGGGCUAAUACCGGAUAAUAUAUUGAACCGCAUGGUUCAAUAGUGAAAGACGGUUUUGCUGUCACUUAUAGAUGGAUCCGCGCCGCAUUAGCUAGUUGGUAAGGUAACGGCUUACCAAGGCAACGAUGCGUAGCCGACCUGAGAGGGUGAUCGGCCACACUGGAACUGAGACACGGUCCAGACUCCUACGGGAGGCAGCAGUAGGGAAUCUUCCGCAAUGGGCGAAAGCCUGACGGAGCAACGCCGCGUGAGUGAUGAAGGUCUUCGGAUCGUAAAACUCUGUUAUUAGGGAAGAACAAAUGUGUAAGUAACUAUGCACGUCUUGACGGUACCUAAUCAGAAAGCCACGGCUAACUACGUG